GAUGAACGCUGGCGGCGUGCCUAACACAUGCAAGUCGAACGGAAAGGCCCUGCUUUUGUGGGGUGCUCGAGUGGCGAACGGGUGAGUAACACGUGUGUAUCCUGCCCUUGACUUUGGGAUAACUUCAGGAAACUGGGGCUAAUACCGGAUAGGAUCUCCUGCAGCAUGGUGGGCGUUGGAAAGUUUCGGCGGUUGGGGAUGGACUCGCGGCUUAUCAGCUUGUUGGUGGGGUAGUGGCUUACCAAGGCUUUGACGGGUAGCCGGCCUGAGAGGGUGGCCGGCGACAAGAGGACUGAGGGAGGGACCAGACGGCAACGGGAGGCAACAGGCGAAAGUAUUGCACAGUGAGCCGGAGCGUGAUACGACGGCGCCGCGUGCGGGAAGACGGCCUUCUGGUUGUGAACCGCUUUCGCCUGAGACGAAGCGUUAGUGACGGUAAUGAGUAAAGAAGCACCGGCUAACUACGUG
This 468-nucleotide ribosomal RNA is filed under the name uncultured bacterium. RNAcentral's name for it is "partial 16S ribosomal RNA". It matches the Rfam family "Bacterial small subunit ribosomal RNA", at positions 28 to 507 of the family's 1533-position model. The record is from RNAcentral.